Long non-coding RNA from Herpailurus yagouaroundi (jaguarundi), 1037 nucleotides. RefSeq lists it as uncharacterized. NCBI's taxonomy places the organism in Eukaryota, Metazoa, Chordata, Mammalia, Carnivora, Felidae. The record is from RefSeq and is a predicted model, not a curated record. The transcript is spliced from 2 exons.
CUCAAACCCGUGAACUGCGAGAUCACAACCUGGGCCAAAGUUGGACACUUAAUCAACCUGAGCCACCCAGGUGCCCCAGCAUUGUGAUUUUUAGGAACUAACAGUCAUGUUAUAGGACUGAGUGCACACGUAAAACACUCAGCUCACGGUUCUUUCCCCAUUACGAACUGACUUCAUCCUCAUGCUUUGCUUGUGGAUUAUUUUUCUGAUUAUACACAAAAGAAAAUGCAAACGCAGAGAAGUCACUUGCCCAAGAUCACACAACCAAGUCCCAGCAGAUAAAAGGCCUGUUCCCUGCCUUCAAAUUUCUUAAGAUACAAAAGAUACAGAUAUUACUUCUAAACCUAUAUCCAAACACUGAGAGCAAAACGUACAUAAGAGCAUGGCCCUUUGGGAGUCAAAAGGUGGAGAGGAGAGAGGGCAUUUAAUCAUAAAAGAAUCCUUGAAGAGGUAAAUUGGAACUGUAGAAAAAUAGUGAGCAGAAGGAAAAAAACUGCAGAAUGGAGACAAAUCAGUGGAUAGCAGGGGUCUCAAACUCAGAUGCCUACAGGGGCCGAGCAAACAACAGGGAUGAAUAGAACGUUCCGGGUGUAAACAAUAGAGAAUGGUGGGGACUGCAGGGCCUCAGGUCUCACCAAAGGGGUAGCCACUAAGGAGUGCUGACCAAUUUUGUGGCACUCCUAGGAAGAUCCAACAACUGGUUUUUAUGAGAAGCAGAAAAUUUACAUUUUAUAUGAAAUUUCUAGGUUGGGUUUUUUGUUUUUUUCAUUUUAAUUGUGGUCUAAACAUCAACUGUUUUCUAAACAUUGGCAACGAAUUCAAGUAUUUUAAAAACACGUUUCAGGCCAAACUAAUACAUCUACAGGCCAGAUGCGCCCCGCGGGCUGCCAGUAUUCAAGCUCUGAUGAAGGACGAUGCUCAGGGCUCGGGGCCCCAACCAAAGAAGUCUGAACAAUGAUGGACACAAAAUAUGUUAUUUAUUGUCAAUUUCUGCAAAGACACAUUUAAGCAACAAAAUAUACAUUUGUCAACCUUUU